CCUACGGGUGGCAGCAGUGGGGAAUAUUGCACAAUGGGCGCAAGCCUGAUGCAGCCAUGCCGCGUGUGUGAAGAAGGCCUUCGGGUUGUAAAGCACUUUCAGCGGGGAGGAAGGCGUUAAGGUUAAUAACCUUGGCGAUUGACGUUACCCGCAGAAGAAGCACCGGCUAACUCCGUGCCAGCAGCCGCGGUAAUACGGAGGGUGCAAGCGUUAAUCGGAAUUACUGGGCGUAAAGCGCACGCAGGCGGUCUGUCAAGUCGGAUGUGAAAUCCCCGGGCUCAACCUGGGAACUGCAUUCGAAACUGGCAGGCUAGAGUCUUGUAGAGGGGGGUAGAAUUCCAGGUGUAGCGGUGAAAUGCGUAGAGAUCUGGAGGAAUACCGGUGGCGAAGGCGGCCCCCUGGACAAAGACUGACGCUCGGGUGCGAAAGCGUGGGGAGCAAACAGGAUUAGAUACCCCUGUAGUC
Molecule: ribosomal RNA, 465 nt
Filed under: uncultured Klebsiella sp.
Lineage: Bacteria; Pseudomonadati; Pseudomonadota; Gammaproteobacteria; Enterobacterales; Enterobacteriaceae
Description: bacterial SSU rRNA
Rfam family: Bacterial small subunit ribosomal RNA
Source: RNAcentral